Unclassified non-coding RNA from Callithrix jacchus (white-tufted-ear marmoset), 117 nucleotides. It matches the Rfam family "Metazoan signal recognition particle RNA". Rfam says of the family: The signal recognition particle (SRP) is a universally conserved ribonucleoprotein. It is involved in the co-translational targeting of proteins to membranes. The eukaryotic SRP consists of a 300-nucleotide 7S RNA and six proteins: SRPs 72, 68, 54, 19, 14, and 9. Lineage: Eukaryota; Metazoa; Chordata; Mammalia; Primates; Cebidae. The record is from Ensembl.
GCCAGGUGUGGUGGUUCACACCUGUAAUCCCAGCUCUUUGGGAGGCUGAGAUGGGAGGAUCACCUGAGGUCAGGAGUUCCAGACCAGCCUGACCACAAUGGAGAAACCCCAUCUCUA